GCGGGCAUAGCUCAAUUGGACAGAGCGUCGGACUACGGAUCCGAAGGUUGGGGGUUCGACUCCUCCUGCCCGCG
This 74-nucleotide transfer RNA is filed under the name Deltaproteobacteria bacterium. RNAcentral describes it as "tRNA-Arg". It matches the Rfam family "tRNA". Rfam says of the family: Transfer RNA (tRNA) molecules are approximately 80 nucleotides in length. Their secondary structure includes four short double-helical elements and three loops (D, anti-codon, and T loops). Lineage: Bacteria; Pseudomonadati; Myxococcota; Myxococcia. The record is from RNAcentral.